GACGAACGCUGGCGGCGUGCCUAAUACAUGCAAGUCGAGCGAAGUUUUCUGGUGCUUGCACUAGAAAAACUUAGCGGCGAACGAGUGAGUAACACGUAAAGAACCUGCCUCAUAGACUGGGACAACUAUUGGAAACGAUAGCUAAUACCGGAUAACAGCAUUAACUGCAUGGUUGAUGUUUAAAAGUUGGUUUUGCUAACACUAUGAGAUGGCUUUGCGGUGCAUUAGCUAGUUGGUGGGGUAAAGGCCUACCAAGGCGACGAUGCAUAGCCGACCUGAGAGGGUGAUCGGCCACACUGGGACUGAGACACGGCCCAGACUCCUACGGGAGGCAGCAGUAGGGAAUCUUCCGCAAUGGGCGAAAGCCUGACGGAGCAACGCCGCGUGAGUGAAGAAGGAUUUCGGUUCGUAAAGCUCUGUUGUUAGGGAAGAAUGAUUGUGUAGUAACUAUACACAGUAGAGACGGUACCUAACCAGAAAGCCACGGCUAACUACGUG
This 498-nucleotide ribosomal RNA is filed under the name uncultured bacterium. Its description in RNAcentral is "partial 16S ribosomal RNA". It matches the Rfam family "Bacterial small subunit ribosomal RNA", at positions 28 to 507 of the family's 1533-position model. The record is from RNAcentral.